GCCUUCGUGGUGUAAUGGUCAACACGUUCGCGCGUAUUCGAGAGGUCCGUGGUUCGAAUCCCGGCAAGGGCA
RNAcentral lists this transfer RNA (72 nucleotides) under Stegodyphus mimosarum. It matches the Rfam family "tRNA". From Rfam's summary of the family: Transfer RNA (tRNA) molecules are approximately 80 nucleotides in length. Their secondary structure includes four short double-helical elements and three loops (D, anti-codon, and T loops). Further hydrogen bonds mediate the characteristic L-shaped molecular structure. tRNAs have two regions of fundamental functional importance: the anti-codon, which is responsible for specific mRNA codon recognition, and the 3' end, to which the tRNAs corresponding amino acid is attached (by aminoacyl-tRNA synthetases). tRNAs cope with the degeneracy of the genetic code in two manners: having more than one tRNA (with a specific anti-codon) for a particular amino acid; and 'wobble' base-pairing, i.e. permitting non-standard base-pairing at the 3rd anti-codon position. The record is from Rfam by way of RNAcentral. Lineage: Eukaryota; Metazoa; Arthropoda; Arachnida; Araneae; Eresidae.